GGUUAAAACAGCUACGUGUCAGUACCUACUCCUGUCUGGUAAGUGCAACUUAUUGUCCUGGGAAGUUGCAACGACAAAUGUCCGCAGCUUUCUCACUCUCUUCUCUCUCGUGUUAUGUCGCUGAUCUUGAAUUUCUAGCGAGUCAUAGUAAAAACCUAAUUAGAUCGAAAAAAGAGAUACAGAGGUAAAAUGGGAGCUUCUUCAUCUUCCGAACAAGACGAAAUCACAGAGGAAGAAGAAUUAGAACAACAAGAGUUAGAAUCUUUAGCAGCUUCAACUGGAGCUCUUUCGAUUCUUCAAAAAUCUUUUUCAAAUCUCUCCGAUCCCGAUACCAAUUCGAUUCCCAUCCCAUCUCUUCAAGAAUGCUUCAGAUUAACCUUCGAAAACACACCCAGUAAAAUGAAGUCGCCAUUGCCCGAAUGUUUUUCGAGGUUAUUAACUCAUCUAGGUCCAGCCGUGGUCGACUUGUUUUUUAUAGCGGAUGAAAAUGAUGGAGUUCAUUGGAUUGAGUUCUUAAGAGGUUAUAUUAGAUGUUGUGGAAGGAUGUCAUUAUCAGUUUCUCUCAACACCGUGUAUAAAUUAUACGCUGGUAUAAGUGCUAAAGCUGGCGCUCCUUCAAAAUUAGAAUUUGAAUCGAAAGACGAUGAUUCUAAAACUAGUGGUAAUUUCACGUCGGAUGAUGUUUUCAUGCUCCUAUGGAUGUGUUGGAUUAUGUCAUGGACUUCGGAAAUAUCUAAGCACUCUAAGCACCCAAUGAAUGUCCAUCUACCAAAUAUAAACCAUUUGAUAUUAUCAGCUGUCACGUCGUGUGUUGAAAUCAGCAGCGAUGUAGAUGUGGGGAAGGUUAAUAUCUCGGAUUUGAAUGUUCAAUUGCCUGCUGAGAAACUUCAUGCGUGGGCUUUGACAACAGUCCCAAAUCUUGCUCAUUGCUUUACUCAGUAUGUUCAUGAUAGACUUCAAAGAUGUACGGUCACAGAGGAACCACAUAGCUCAAGCAUAUCCAUCGUGGAGAGCUCCUCAACAGAGUCACAUAACCCAUGUCUUUUAACUUCUGGAAAAGCUUGGGCUAUCUCUCUUACACUUACAAGUACCGUAAACAAAGAGAUUCUAAAGACAUGUGUUCCCAAAGAUAGUGUUGGAGAAUUCGAAAACCUUUUGUAUAGGUCGUCUGUUCAUGGAAAAGUCAUGAAUAGGUUCUGGUCUAGUGUUGACGGUUACCAUGGAGCACUGUUAGUUUUGAUUUCUGCUUGUUCUAUAGAAAGCUGUGAAGGUGAUUCCAAUCCCGGGAGAUGGAUUAUUGGUGUAUUAACUGAUCAGGGCUUUGAAAACAAAGAUGUCUUCUAUGGAAGCUCUGGAUACCUAUAUGCUUUAAGUCCAAUUUUCCAUGUCUGUUCACCUACUGGAAGAGAUAAGAACUUUAUAUACAGCCACUUGCAGCCUGCUGGUAGAGGAGUAUAUGAACCGCAUCCAAAGCCUGUUGGUGUUGCUUUUGGGGGAACUCCUGGAAAUGAGAGGAUAUUUAUUAAUCAAGAUUUCUCUACAAUGACUAUUUGUUACCAUGCUGUUGACAAGACUUACCGACCUGGAUCCCUUUUUCCCAAUCAGGGAAUUUUAACUUACGAAGCUUCAAUUCUGGAGGUGGAAGUAUGGGGAUUAGGUGGGGAGAAAGUUAAAGAACAGCAGGAUGCGUACAAGAAUAGAGAAGAACUUUUUACUGAGCAGAGACGCAAGGUUGAUUUGAAAACUUUUGGUGCCUGGGAGGAUUCACCAGAGAGGAUGAUGAUGGACAUGGUUUCCGAUCCCAACAAAGUUCAUCGGGAAGAUCGGUAGUAUUGCUCAAAGUUUCAAAUCCCAGGUUUAGCCGGAAUCAUUAAAUCAGAUCUGGAAGUUCUUUUAGUAGUCUUGUUAAGAUCUGGCCAAAAGGCACAGAGGUAAAUGGAACACCUACCGGUGCAUAUUUGGUGGAGCUUAGAGGCGCGCGCAGCCUGUUCUUUACCAUUAGAAACUACUAAAAUUGUUACUACAAUGUUGUUUACUCAAUGAAAGCAACUGGCAAGGAAGUCUUGGCUCUUGUUUUUGGUUUAUCUUGUUCAAUUCAGUUAAAAGUCCCUCUUGGUCUUGGGGAAACAAAGAAAGAAAAUGGGUAUUAAAAAGAUAAACGAACAAUUCUUGUAAACCCAAAUUGUUGAUUACCACAAAGUUUUUCUUUUUCUUUUUUUGCUUAAUUUUAAGUACACCACAAAAAAAAAUUCACAUAGUUGAUAUUGUCCACAUUGCCGGCAAAAAGCAAUUACUACAUUUUACAUUUUGCGGAA
This is an RNA transcript of Papaver somniferum (opium poppy), 2315 nucleotides long. RefSeq lists it as uncharacterized. The record is from RefSeq and is a predicted model, not a curated record. Lineage: Eukaryota; Viridiplantae; Streptophyta; Magnoliopsida; Ranunculales; Papaveraceae. The transcript has 9 exons.